GAGAGUAUAGCUCAGGGGUAGAGUAUGUGCUUAGCAUGCACAAGGUCCUGGGUUCAAUCCCUAGUACCUCCA
Molecule: transfer RNA, 72 nt
Filed under: Camelus bactrianus (Bactrian camel)
Lineage: Eukaryota; Metazoa; Chordata; Mammalia; Artiodactyla; Camelidae
Also listed under: 2 other names
Rfam family: tRNA
About the family: Transfer RNA (tRNA) molecules are approximately 80 nucleotides in length. Their secondary structure includes four short double-helical elements and three loops (D, anti-codon, and T loops).
Source: Rfam by way of RNAcentral